GGAUGUGAGGGUGACCUGGCUGCGACAUCUGUCACCCUAUUGAUCGCCAGGGUUGAUUCGGCUGAUCUGGCUGGCUAGGCGGGUAUCCCCGUCCCUCCCCACCACUCCAUGUGCGUCCCCCCUGAAGCUGCGUGCUCAAUCAAAGGGGACGACCAUCCCCAAUAGAGGAGGACCGUCCUUCGGUCAAGGGUAUAUGAAAAACUACGCUCCCCUGCUAGAACCUCCAAACAAGCUCUCAAGUAGGAAGGCCAGACAUGUCCAGGGCCUCUCACCAUGGUGUGACACCAGGAGGU
RNAcentral lists this small nuclear RNA (293 nucleotides) under Castor canadensis (American beaver). RNAcentral's name for it is "7SK RNA (ENSCCNG00000014788.1)". It matches the Rfam family "7SK RNA". From Rfam's summary of the family: 7SK was discovered as an abundant small nuclear RNA in the mid-70s but a possible function has only recently been suggested. Two independent studies have found that 7SK RNA binds the CDK9/cyclin T complex (known as elongation factor P-TEFb). The record is from Rfam by way of RNAcentral. Lineage: Eukaryota; Metazoa; Chordata; Mammalia; Rodentia; Castoridae.